Cinara cedri is the source of this 299-nucleotide non-coding RNA. Lineage: Eukaryota; Metazoa; Arthropoda; Insecta; Hemiptera; Aphididae. The record is from the annotation of a GenBank genome assembly.
AUUUUCAAAUCUACCUUGGUCGAUCCGUCCCGCUACGUCGUAGUCCACCUCUGAGCCGAUCGGUUUGAAAAUAUUAUAUUAUUCCGCGAUUCGGGUUUCCCCUGUAACUGUCUGAAUGGGGCGGAAAUUUCCCGCGCGGUUCUUUCAUCCGGUUACUCGAUCGGACCGCGAAACGCAUCAACAAAAUUACGUUGACUUGCCACCGCUACCGUCGCUAGUCGGGAUAAUUGGUUUAACACUUAAUGCCGACUAAUUUGUAGUAGUCGCGCCCUCAUACCUACAACUGGCCGGUACACUCU